RNAcentral lists this ribosomal RNA (253 nucleotides) under uncultured bacterium. RNAcentral describes it as "partial 16S ribosomal RNA". It matches the Rfam family "Bacterial small subunit ribosomal RNA", at positions 524 to 776 of the family's 1533-position model. The record is from RNAcentral.
UACGUAGGUGGCAAGCGUUGUCCGGAUUUACUGGGCGUAAAGAGCGCGCAGGCGGUCGUUCAAGUCGCGUGUGAAAGCCCCGGGCUCAACCUGGGAAUUGCGAUGGAGACUGCAAGGCUAGAGUGUGUCAGAGGGGGGUAGAAUUCCACGUGUAGCAGUGAAAUGCGUAGAUAUGUGGAGGAACACCGAUGGCGAAGGCAGCCCCCUGGGAUAACACUGACGCUCAUGCACGAAAGCGUGGGGAGCAAACAGG